GCCCUCUUGGCUUAGUGGUAAAGCGCAUCACUAGUAAUGAUGAGAUCGCUAGUUCGAUUCUGGCAGAGGGCA
This 72-nucleotide transfer RNA is filed under the name Plenodomus lingam JN3. Its description in RNAcentral is "tRNA-Thr (AGT) (tRNA-Thr-AGT-1-1)". It matches the Rfam family "tRNA". Rfam says of the family: Transfer RNA (tRNA) molecules are approximately 80 nucleotides in length. Their secondary structure includes four short double-helical elements and three loops (D, anti-codon, and T loops). Further hydrogen bonds mediate the characteristic L-shaped molecular structure. tRNAs have two regions of fundamental functional importance: the anti-codon, which is responsible for specific mRNA codon recognition, and the 3' end, to which the tRNAs corresponding amino acid is attached (by aminoacyl-tRNA synthetases). tRNAs cope with the degeneracy of the genetic code in two manners: having more than one tRNA (with a specific anti-codon) for a particular amino acid; and 'wobble' base-pairing, i.e. permitting non-standard base-pairing at the 3rd anti-codon position. Lineage: Eukaryota; Fungi; Ascomycota; Dothideomycetes; Pleosporales; Leptosphaeriaceae. The record is from RNAcentral.